AACUUUCAACAACGGAUCUCUUGGUUCUGGCAUCGAUGAAGAACGCAGCGAAAUGCGAUAAGUAAUGUGAAUUGCAGAAUUCAGUGAAUCAUCGAAUCUUUGAACGCACAUUGCGCCCCUUGGUAUUCCGAGGGGCAUGCCUGUCCGAGCGUCAUUGC
Molecule: ribosomal RNA, 158 nt
Filed under: Lobariella subexornata
Lineage: Eukaryota; Fungi; Ascomycota; Lecanoromycetes; Peltigerales; Lobariaceae
Description: 5.8S ribosomal RNA
Rfam family: 5.8S ribosomal RNA
About the family: 5.8S ribosomal RNA (5.8S rRNA) is a component of the large subunit of the eukaryotic ribosome. It is transcribed by RNA polymerase I as part of the 45S precursor that also contains 18S and 28S rRNA. Functionally, it is thought that 5.8S rRNA may be involved in ribosome translocation.
Source: RNAcentral